AGAGAGGUGCUCGAGUGGUUGAAGAGGCUACCCUGGAAAGGUAGUAUACGGUAACCGUAUCGAGGGUUCGAAUCCCUUCCUCUCUGCUA
Molecule: transfer RNA, 89 nt
Filed under: Apibacter adventoris
Lineage: Bacteria; Pseudomonadati; Bacteroidota; Flavobacteriia; Flavobacteriales; Weeksellaceae
Description: tRNA-Ser
Rfam family: tRNA
About the family: Transfer RNA (tRNA) molecules are approximately 80 nucleotides in length. Their secondary structure includes four short double-helical elements and three loops (D, anti-codon, and T loops).
Source: RNAcentral